RNAcentral lists this ribosomal RNA (393 nucleotides) under uncultured bacterium. RNAcentral's name for it is "partial 16S ribosomal RNA". It matches the Rfam family "Bacterial small subunit ribosomal RNA", at positions 523 to 918 of the family's 1533-position model. The record is from RNAcentral.
AUACGGAGGAUCCGAGCGUUAUCCGGAUUUAUUGGGUUUAAAGGGUGCGCAGGCGGGAGAUUAAGUCGGCGGUGAAAUUUUGCAGCUCAACUGUAAAAGUGCCUUCGAAACUGGUUUCCUUGAGUGUAGAUGAAGUAGGCGGAAUUUGAGGUGUAGCGGUGAAAUGCAUAGAUAUCACGAGGAACUCCGAUUGCGCAGGCAGCUUACUAAACUACUACUGACGCUCAGGCACGAAGGCGUGGGGAUCAAACAGGAUUAGAUACCCUGGUAGGCCACGCAGUAAACGAUGAUUACUAGCUGUUUGCGAUACAAUGUAAGCGGCUAAGCGAAAGCAUUAAGUAAUCCACCUGGGGAGUACGGUCGCAAGAAUGAAACUUAAAGGAAUUGACGGGG